GAUUAUGGCUCAGGACGAACGCUGGCGGCGUGCUUAACACAUGCAAGUCGAACGGAACAUCCUUGACAGAGGUUUCGGCCAAUGAAGAGGAAUGUUUAGUGGCGGACUGGUGAGUAACGCGUGAGGAACCUGCCUUUCAGAGGGGGACAACAGUUGGAAACGACUGCUAAUACCGCAUGAAGCAGCGAGGGGACAUCCCCUUGCUGUCAAAGAUUUAUCGCUGAAAGAUGGCCUCGCGUCUGAUUAGCUAGUUGGUGGGGUAACGGCCCACCAAGGCGACGAUCAGUAGCCGGACUGAGAGGUUGACCGGCCACAUUGGGACUGAGAUACGGCCCAGACUCCUACGGGAGGCAGCAGUGGGGAAUAUUGGGCAAUGGACGCCAAGUCUGACCCAGCAACGCCGCGUGAAGGAAGAAGGCUUUCGGGUUGUAAACUUCUUUUAACAGGGAAGAGAAGAAGACGGUACCUGUUGAAUAAGCCACGGCUAACUACGUGCCAGCCGCUGC
RNAcentral lists this ribosomal RNA (506 nucleotides) under uncultured bacterium. RNAcentral describes it as "bacterial SSU rRNA". It matches the Rfam family "Bacterial small subunit ribosomal RNA", at positions 15 to 518 of the family's 1533-position model. The record is from RNAcentral.